RNAcentral lists this long non-coding RNA (482 nucleotides) under Equus caballus (horse). Its description in RNAcentral is "lncRNA (ENSECAG00000055752.1)". The record is from RNAcentral. Lineage: Eukaryota; Metazoa; Chordata; Mammalia; Perissodactyla; Equidae.
CUUGAAGUCACCUGACUUUCUCUCACAAAAGGUUGGGCCUUCCAGCUCAAAGCCCUUUGUUCCUGAGCCUCUUUUUCCAGGAAGCUGGUCUUGAGAAAAACACCUGCUUUAGGGACAGGAGCUACUCACCGUAAAAGUCACUUGGAGGCCUGACUGCAUGGGGUGCAGCGUCCUUGUGAAGAGUCCUCAGAUGGCUCUAGAGCUGGCAGUGCUGCUUUUCAGUAUUCAGGUGCCUAUGGACCAGAAGGCGAAACCAACUGGGCCUGGCUCCUGGAAAGCGAGAGAACCAGGGGACCACAACAACAAGGAAACAGUCUGGCGGCCACAGAAAGUGAUGUUUGCUCAGGGAGCCUCCGUUCUUACAAAGGGGUUUCCCCAGAGACCCUGCGGAGAACUGUCAACAGAAAUCCAAACUCCUCCUAAUCCGAAAGACAAUCCUAUCUGGCGUAGCCCCGGGCCCUCUAGGACCGGUUUAAACUGAC